UUUUUCUUUAUAAAUUUUUAAAACCUUUUUUUGUGGGGGGGAGGGGGAAUGCCAGGAUCCCUUUAUCUCUUGCACUGCUGUUCGUUGCAUAAGCGCCGGGACACUGUCAGUUUGGGAUGACUUAGAUUUUUCAUAGACAAGGUUAAGACCAGAGCAAGGGAUUAUGGGAUAUUCCAGUGAGGUGUGGGAUCUAGAGACUCUGCAUGGAUGCGGUUGGAUACUUGGCUGCUUGUGGGGGGUUGGGAUGAGCCUGUAUCUGUACCUGCACCUGAAUCUGAGUGUGGGCAAGUUGAGGUGAAUGCAGAUGCUCUCAGGGGCCAGGAAAGGGUGGCAGAGUCACUGAUGCUGGGGUUAAAGGCGGUUAAAGGUGAGCCACCUCGGGUUGGUGUGGGAACUGAAUCCCAGCCCUCCACAGAGGCAGCACCUACUCUUCCCUGCUGACUCAUUUCUCCUGCCCCUGGACUCCCAGUGAGUGACAUUUUGGGGAAACAAAGUCAGCAGCAUGCCUGUGCUUCUGAAGGAAACCACAGAGGCAUUUAUUUGGUCCCUUGCCCCAGAAAACACCUCCCUCCACUGUCACACCAACCCAUGAGGCUUCCAUGAUCCCUGGUCCCUGUGACUGCUCCCUCUGAAGGGAACUAGAGCACCCUCUAGGGGCCAUGUUCCCCAUGUCCUGAUGAGAGAUACCCGGAGAAACUGUCUAGACACCAGGGAGGGGCUUGGGGCUGCUGGGCACUCAGGAUGGGGGACACAACACUGGGACUCGGCCUGUUUCCCACUACCAUCUCUGACUCAACGCACCUUGACUCAAAUCUUGGAAGAGACUUUUGAAACUGCCUAGAUUUAAUGCGCCUGUAACAUUAUAGUUAUACAUGUUACAUAAUAUCAAUGUAUUGUGUGUUUAACCUUUAUACGUCUGAAUACAUUUGAUAUCACCCAGUACCACACUUUGCUGUCUUUUGUUUGAGACAGGAUCUUGUCACCCAGCCCGGCAGGAUCGGCUUAAUAGGAGAGAGCCAAGCACAGUCCAUGCUGAAGGGGAAGACACUGUAGCUGGUGCCUUUGUGCUGCUAUUAGUGAGAGUUUGUGACCUUGAACUCUGCAAUCCUCCUGCCUUGGGUUCCUGAGGGCUAGGAUCUCAGGCACAAGCCACCACCCCUGGCGGGUAUCACAGCCUUUGAUCCAGUAUGCUUAUGUCCACACAUUGUGGACAAGCGGCUGUGUAUAGUUAUGGGAGCUUUGCUUGGGAAUCAGACUGAGCGAGUUUACAUCUCCACCCCACAGACACUAUGGGUUGCUGGGCAGGUUCCUUGGUGUCUCUGUGCCUCAGUUUGGUCACUUAAUACAAAUGGGCAUAACAAAGUAUCUAACAGAUUGACCGGCAUAGGAGCCGGCAAAUAAGCAUCCCAGGGAAAGUGUUAAUUAUUAUUACAAACCAAUUGUACAGCCAAAUCAUCACAGCCAUUUCCAGGAAGGAUUUCUCACACAGACUCACUAAAAAUUCAAGGCUCAAAUUUCCAGUUCUUAGCGAUGAGGGCACCUUAAAUUUUCCAGAAAUUUCCAUGAAGGAAAUCGCCUCAGAUUCUAGUAAACAUGGACUGCUCUGAGGCCAGUCAGCCUUCCGGGGAGGUCUGCUGUAAAAUGUUCCUUGUGCCUUCCUUACACCGGCUCCCUGCUUCAGAUGCGGGAUGUUUCCAAUUCUAACAGCAUUGACAAACACGGGUAGGUAGCACCUGGGCGUAGCCUGGCUCGUGAGGGAAGCUCUCGGUUUGCUCAGGAGACAGCUGAGCAUCUGUCCCGAGGCUGCUGGUCUUGAGGCCUCCCUCUUUCAGGUGCGAAGAUACCAUUGUCGCCCUACCCACAUCCUUCCUUUGUAGAGUCUUAAUCUCCUGGUUUCAAGUGGUCAUGUGACUUAGAUGCAGCCAAUCACAACGUACCUUUGACUUUGGUAAUUGGUGAAUGGGUGACCAUGUGACCUGAUUAGGUCCAAUGAUAGACCAUCUGACUAAGGUGACCCACAUUCAAUCUCCAGUACUGUGAAACAGCACAUUAAUUUCCCCCUACCCUAAGGAACCAAAAGGAACAUAGAAAGAUCAUUUAGUGAGUGGGCAAGCACAGUUUCAUCUGGUCGUCCCCCCAGAACCCUUGUGUGAGUCAAUCAUAUGAGAUAGCGCAUGUCAAUCAUAUGAACCAGUUGACCCCACCCCCUCUCUUAUUCCAUUUAAGGGGAUUUUUAACUAUUUAGCAAGGGGGAGAAAAUCUUGAUCCAGAAUACAAGGCUUAAGCCCACAGCCAUAAAGAUGGGCCCUGUCUCAAACCUUUCAGGCUGAACUCCUCCCCCACCCAGCUGCCACGAGAUUCCCAUCUAAAGAUAGAGCUGGAGCCCACGUGUUUGCUGCACCCGAAGCCUCUUGGCUGUGUGGGAAGUGCUACCUCAGCACAGGGUCCCCAUCAACACUCCUUCCUGGUGUCUGAGACGCUGUGGCUUCCUCAGCCUUAUCUCCUAUCAGCGGCAACACUUCAUCACGCUGACACCCGGAUACGAGGAAUGAGUAAAAGUGAAGCGAGCAAGGUCAUGGAGAAGUUAACCCGAGGGAUCGCAGCACAGAAGCCACCCUUCCGUGGCCCUGAAAGGUCUGGAAAGUGGUGCGAACGUCUCUGAGCCGAGCGCCCCUUGGCAGCGCACCCUGACAGCCCUAAAGACUGACGUCGAAACAGUUAAACGUGCAACUGUCAACAAGGCCCUGUCUUAAUAACCAAACUUGAGGCCUUUUAUCCCGGAAGAUUUAUGAAGUAAUUUUAAAGAGAUCCAAGCAAACAUCUGUCAAUAAAUUGAAUGCCGGCUACAGGAUUUACAAGCAAGACAAGAAUUUCUCAUUAAGUGCACAUUAACACGAUGCAGAUCAUAAAUAGGAGGCCAAGACGCCAAGCCUCUCAAGCUGUCAUUAAAACACUCUCUUAAGAGCCAAUGAGGAAGCACUACAAUGGGCUGCUGAUGCCCUAGGUUCCCGCCAUCCUGGAAAGGGAAGUUCACAAGUCAGAGACCUCUGGAGGCUGCUGCUGGCUCCUUCGGCUCCUUGGAGCUCAGCUCAUUGGCCGUGAGAACUUCCGAACUGCUCUUUUAGUAUCUGGAGGUACCCAUGGGUCCAUUACACCCGGUGUUGAGGUGGAAUGAUGCUCUUAGAAUACCCUUCACCCUGACUUUCAGGGAUUUGACAGCCAUACGACCUCCGCCAUAGAAUAUGCUACAUUAAGUUACAUUCCAGAAAUUUCUCCUCCACUGGACCACAGCUUGGUUCUCUGACAGGCAAGAAUUAGAGAAUGGCCUCCAGCUAAAUCGUGGGGAGUCCCCGAGGAACAAACCCUUGGAGAGGGGAAUCAUUGAAGAAGAAAAUGAAGAUGACAAGGAGGGCUGCUUCUUAAUAAACAUGAUCGCCCUGUCA
Molecule: non-coding RNA, 3443 nt
Organism: Rattus norvegicus (Norway rat)
Lineage: Eukaryota; Metazoa; Chordata; Mammalia; Rodentia; Muridae
Source: RefSeq, a predicted model, not a curated record